Long non-coding RNA from Myotis daubentonii (Daubenton's bat), 1009 nucleotides. RefSeq lists it as uncharacterized. Lineage: Eukaryota; Metazoa; Chordata; Mammalia; Chiroptera; Vespertilionidae. The record is from RefSeq and is a predicted model, not a curated record.
AUGAAUAACCAGCGCCCAGGCUGGUUACGUAGCCUAGCCAUUGCCAGCAAGCAAUGGACCCUUGACUCAAGCCCAUUUCAUUCUGCUCAUAGACCAAGCAUCCCUCCAGCGUCUGUUCUCACAGUUCGUGAGAGGCCUCAUUUGUGCCUGUUGGAGACACUCAGAUCCUGGGGAGCUGCAGGCAGAAAACAAGAGUCCUGACACUGAGGAGCACUGUGUUGUGAAUCAGCAAGUUGACAGUCAUUAACAUGGAACUUGGGCAUUUUCCCAUUUCAUUAAGUUUUGGACAAUGUGUGUCAUUUACGAGGCUAUCAAAGCUCCUGGUUUCAAUUUUGGCUUCUGAGAGAUUUCAUGUUCCCUCGAGAGUGGUGCCAGACCAAGGAAGUCAAAUUGCUCUCUGCUCAUCCACGGCAGUGGCCAUGAACAUGACCCCACAAAAAAGCAGUCAACAUAAAGUCCACAGGUGGUCUCUCUGAACUCUGCUUCUCGCAGGCACCAGCUAUCUUCUCUGGUCACGACCCAGCUCCACACCCAAGGCUCAGCUCCACAUGACUCCCAGCAGAAACCCGGGACCUACAGAAUGGAGAUGUGGCUGUGGUGUGAAGUAGGGCAAAUGUGGUAAUUUUCCAUGCAUUCCUCGUUCAAAAAAAUCUUUAUUGCGGUUACCUCAAUGGGAGGUUCCUACUCAGUGGUUUUACAGGGGUAGUAUCGGAUGUUCUGAGGUAUACAAAACUUUAAAAAACAGACAUGGAUUCUACCCUCAAGAAGCUUCAAGUCUCAUACAUGCUAAAAGAUGAAAGAUGGCCCUAACUGGUUUUGCUCAGUGGUUAGCGCGUCGGCUUGUGGACUGAAGGGUCGCAGAUUCGAUUCCAGUCAAAAGGCAUGUACCUUGGUUGUGGGCACAUCCCCAGUAGGGGGUGUGCAGGAGGCAGCUGAUCGAUGUUUCUCUCUCAUCGAUGUUUCUAACUCUCUAUCCCUCUCCCUUCCUCUCUGUAAAAAAUCAAUAAAA